CAGUAAAUGGAGUAAAGAACAGAUGGAAGUUCUCAACUGCCACAGGGACUCAUUCAGGGGAAAGAGAUCAUCCCUAAGGUUAAGGCAACAUGAUGGUCAACAGGCCUUGCCACAUGAGGUGAAAAUAUAGAGUCGAAACUGGGACAAUGGGAAUAUGGCAGCAAUUUCCAUUGUGUGCUUAAAGUCUGCUGGUUGUAAAUUACUGUUGUUAAUAACAGGAAAGCAUCAGAUCAGAGAGCAGCUGUCAGAGCUGGUUUUGGCCGCUGACUCUUGAUGGCUACCAUUUUAUUUUCCCAGAAUGUCUCAGAUGUUGUGUAUUUCCAUUAAAUUCUGUUAAUACUGUGGAGCAAGAAUUAGGCCUUUGUCACCUUGAAUUAGGCAAUGGGAUAUUUAUUUAUGUGUGUAGGAGGGAAGGGAAGAAAAAAUUCCUGUUAGUGGCUUUAUGUAUUUAUAUCUACCUUGUAUUAUACUGAGGGCUUUCAAGUUUUAUCAAUGGGAACGGUGGAUCUUUGUAUCUUGGACUUUUCUACAGGCAACUCCUGCACUGGUUCCUUGUUGGAUGCACAGAACUUUGGGGAUUGUGUAUAUGUGUUAUAUUGCAUUGGGAUAUGUUGUAUUG
Molecule: long non-coding RNA, 619 nt
Organism: Rhineura floridana
Lineage: Eukaryota; Metazoa; Chordata; Lepidosauria; Squamata; Rhineuridae
Exons: 3
Source: RefSeq, a predicted model, not a curated record